GACGAACGCUGGCGGCGUGCUUAACACAUGCAAGUCGAACGGUGAAGGGACCGGUUUUUGCUGGUUCUGGAUGAGUGGCGAACGGGUGAGGAACACGUGAGUAACCUGCCCCCUUCUUCUGGAUAACCGCAUGAAAGUGUUGCUAAUACGGGAUAUUCUGCUCCUGCUGCAUGGCUGGGAUGGGGAAGAUAUUGUUUCUGAGGGGGAUGGGCUCGCGGCCUAUCAGCUUGUUGGUGGGGUGAUGGCCUACCAAGGCGGUGACGGGUAGCCGGCAUGAGAGGGUGGACGGCCACACGGGUGCGGAGCCACGGCGCAGACUCCUAGGGGCGGCAGUAGGGGGGAAUAUGGCACAGUGGGCGCAAGGCUGAUGCAGCGACGCCGCGUGGGGGAUGGAGGCCUGCGGGUUGUAAACCUCUUUCGCCAGUGAAGCAGGCCUGUCCCUUUUGUGGGUGGGUUGACGGUAGCUGGAUAAGAAGCGCCGGCUAACUACGUG
Molecule: ribosomal RNA, 493 nt
Filed under: uncultured bacterium
Lineage: Bacteria
Description: partial 16S ribosomal RNA
Rfam family: Bacterial small subunit ribosomal RNA
Source: RNAcentral